GAUGAACGCUGGCGGCGUGCCUUAUACAUGCAAGUCGAGCGGACGGACGAGCUUCUUGCUUCUCUGAUGUUAGCAGCGGACGGGUGAUUCAUACGUGGAUACCCUAUCUUUAAGACUGGCUUAACUUCAGUCAACUUGAUCUCAUACCGGAUUAUAUUUUGAACCGCAUGGUUCUACAGUCCACGCCCUUCUUGCUGUCCCUUAUAUAUGUAUCCGCGCUGCAUUAGCUAGUUGGUACGGUAACGGCGUACCAAGGCAACGAUGCAUAGCCGACCUGAGAGGAUGAUCGGCCACACUGGAACUGAGACACGGUCCAGACUCCUACGGGAGGCAGCAGUAGGGAAUUUUCGGCAAUGGGCGAAAGCCUGAUGGAGCAACGCCGCGUGAGUGAUGAAGGUCUUCGGAUCGUAAAGCACUGUUAGUAGGGAAGAAAAGAAGUGUAAGUAAAUGUGCGCAUGAUGACGGUACCUAAACAGAAAGCCACGGCUAACUACGUG
Molecule: ribosomal RNA, 497 nt
Filed under: uncultured bacterium
Lineage: Bacteria
Description: partial 16S ribosomal RNA
Rfam family: Bacterial small subunit ribosomal RNA
Source: RNAcentral